UUCAACACUUUGGGAGUUUGCUAUGGCAGGUCAUUUCCUCCUGUGUAUACCAGCAUGCAUGCAUGAGGGGCAGCUCUGAAAUGGUGUCAGGACAACUUUUGGAAGCUGUAGUAAGAAGAUACACUUUUGACUUGCCUCUCACUCAGCUCUGAAAUCCUGAGGUUCGGGCCUCAAAGAACAGAGAAAUUUCUCCCACCACCUCCAUGGCAUUACAGAUGAGCUGACUGGAAUACCAGAAUCCAUGGGAUUGCAGAGCGGGGAAUUUUCAAAGAUCUGCUUAUAAAAACUGUGGUAAAGAUAGAUCCCGGAAGUGGACCAUAUGCCCACCGAGCCAACCAGAGAAAUGCCUGUCAUGCGGGACCACACCUCUUAUCACAAAAUAUGGCCCCAAAGCCCAGAAUUCAGCCUCAAUGGGCCCAAAGAAGAGGAACAACCAAAGAUCAUUAGUCAUUUGAAUGCUUCCAGCUAUCCCAGACAAGCGACUGGUUAUCUUAUUUCUGAAAAAUCUCCAGGAUGGGAACAUUCCUGUUUCUCCUGGCAACUAGCUCCUCUAUAUCAGAACACUUCCCUCAGGGUGACGCAGCCUAUUUUCUUCCAAUUUCUCCUUCUCUCCAGGUGGUUCUAUUAUAUUCUAGAAUCAUUUCACCAAGCAGACGGACUUGAAGAUUCCAUUUUAUCUGCCAUUAUAGUCAUAAUAAUCUCUUUUUAAAGGGCUAUCUAAAAAUUUCAACUGCCUAAGGUCAGCCAUAGUGAGAAUAACACACUCUUGAGAAAUUCUCUCUUAGAAAAAUUAGUCAAGUUCUUCAGGUUGCGAGUAACAUAGACCCACUCACACUGCCUUAAAUAAAAAGUAGGUUCUCACUUUGUUUUAGUUUCUUUCUUUGUUUCUCUCCUAAUAAGGAAUGAACAUUGUCUUGGGUACCCAAGGGCAGAGAAGUAUCCCAGCCCUUAUCAGAAGUUAGAACUAGGAGCAGGAAAGUCCACACUGAACUCAGCCAGGAAUCUCAGUUCCUCUGUCAUCUCCACCAGGUCUUACAGGGUCUUAUCG
Equus asinus (donkey) is the source of this 1048-nucleotide long non-coding RNA. The record is from Ensembl. NCBI's taxonomy places the organism in Eukaryota, Metazoa, Chordata, Mammalia, Perissodactyla, Equidae.